Molecule: long non-coding RNA, 647 nt
Organism: Arabidopsis lyrata subsp. lyrata
Lineage: Eukaryota; Viridiplantae; Streptophyta; Magnoliopsida; Brassicales; Brassicaceae
Exons: 3
Source: RefSeq, a predicted model, not a curated record
GCAGCUGAGAAGGUUAUGGUUCGACUAAAAUACGUUCCUGAUUCUUCGAGUGUGAAUAAAUGAUCGUUGCAUUUCCUCAAACCAAAUCAUGGAAGCCGAUGCUGCUACAUAAAGAUUUAAGACGGAAAGCCAAAAGCCAAAAGCAGAUAAAUUUCUUUUUCUUUGUGGCUAACAAGGAGACUGCAUGCUGGUUUUUACUUUGGACCUGAAGAUUAUUGUAGAAAGUAAUCGUGUCAAAAGAUUGCAGUUAGUGGUAGUAACAAGCAUUUGAUAAAUGGGAAGCUUGCACAACCUAGUCAAGUCCAGAAUCUUUUCCACUCUGUGCAGCUUAAUAAUGUCAACAAUCCACACUUUCUCAUCAUGCAAGGUAGAAUCACCAAAGUCUUAAACAUGAAACCUCCCGAGAUACUGUGGGUGCUGGAACAAGAAUGUAUGAAAACAAGAAAGAAAGAAUGUUCAACAGUAGAGGAAGAAGAAGAAGAAGAUGAGACAUGGAGGAGCGAGAUAGUAACAAGGGUGAUGAGAAUCGUGAGCAAGAGAUUGAUCUUUUUUACUCUGCUACCUUGAUGGUCUUAAGGUUCGUGUUUCCUUUGGAAGUAGUCUUUAUCAGAUGACAGCAGAGGGCAAAGUUGAUGCAGCUCUUGAUC